RNAcentral lists this ribosomal RNA (456 nucleotides) under uncultured bacterium. RNAcentral describes it as "bacterial SSU rRNA". It matches the Rfam family "Bacterial small subunit ribosomal RNA", at positions 34 to 507 of the family's 1533-position model. The record is from RNAcentral.
CGCUGGCGGCGUGCUUAACACAUGCAAGUCGAACGGUAAGGCCCUUCGGGGUACACGAGUGGCGAACGGGUGAGUAACACGUGGGUGAUCUGCCCUGCACUUCGGGAUAAGCCUGGGAAACUGGGUCUAAUACCGGAUAGGACCAUGGACUUCACGGUUUGUGGUGGAAAGCUUUUGCGGUGUGGGAUGGGCCCGCGGCCUAUCAGCUUGUUAGUGGGGUAAUGGCCUACCAAGGCGACGACGGGUAGCCGGCCUGAGAGGGUGUCCGGCCACACUGGGACUGAGAUACGGCCCAGACUCCUACGGGAGGCAGCAGUGGGGAAUAUUGCACAAUGGGCGCAAGCCUGAUGCAGCGACGCCGCGUGAGGGAUGACGGCCUUCGGGUUGUAAACCUCUUUCAAUAGGGACGAAGCGCAAGUGACGGUACCUAUAGAAGAAGCACCGGCCAACUACGUG